This is a long non-coding RNA of Lepisosteus oculatus (spotted gar), 708 nucleotides long. RefSeq lists it as uncharacterized. Lineage: Eukaryota; Metazoa; Chordata; Actinopteri; Semionotiformes; Lepisosteidae. The record is from RefSeq and is a predicted model, not a curated record.
UAGCUGGUGGCCUUUUCUGAAGCAGGAACAAAAUUAGGUGAUUCAAUUAAUAGCCAUCUUUAUGUUUCAAGGAUUACAGCGCUUGGGCUACAUUAUGGGGAAAGACAGACAAGAGGAACAGUGAAGCAAAUAAAAAUGUGGGCAUGGCACAGUUUUCAGGGAAAUGCUAAAUAAGAAGUCAGCAGCACCUGGUUUAAUGGCUUUCACUGCUGCGCGUUCCAGUACCUAUUCUCAUACCAACGGUCCUGUGAUUGCUUUUGAGUUCUUGCUAUGAUGAUUUCCACUCAAAGUCUGAAGACAUACUGGUGGGUUGUCCCUGUGUGAGUGUGGACAUGUUGGUGUUUGGGUCUGUCCACCCUGCACUGGACUGGUGUUCUGUCCAGGGUGUAUCCUGCCUUGCGCCCAUUGUUUGCCAGUAAAUAUUCCGGUUCCACCGUGACCCUGAUUUGGAGGAAGCAGAUAGAAAAUGGAUGGUUUCAGAGAUGGAUUUUUGAGUGGAAGCCCUCAUUUUCCAAGUUUAUAUCACCUAUAUCUAUUGGGAAAUUACCCAAAAAAAGACACUGUAAUAGAUAAAUAAAAGCUUUUCAUCUGAUGAGUCUGAAUUUAAAACUCUUUGUCUUGGCAACAAGAUUUAUUUGGAGGAGGGAUUGUGAAUUUUACAAUGCUGAAUGCCUACAGCCAACAGUGUAGCUCACAGAUCUGAGAACA